Long non-coding RNA from Sciurus carolinensis (gray squirrel), 1112 nucleotides. RefSeq lists it as uncharacterized. The record is from RefSeq and is a predicted model, not a curated record. The transcript has 3 exons. Lineage: Eukaryota; Metazoa; Chordata; Mammalia; Rodentia; Sciuridae.
CACACCUGUCCAGCUCCGGUCACACCUGUCCAGUUCAGCAGGCCACAGAACCAGGCAGGCAGGAUGAGCAGCGGACGUGACAGCUCUUCAGAACCCAAUCACACUUGGCUCGGGAGGCUGAGGCGGGAGGAUGGCAGGUUCCAGGCCGCCUCGGUGACUCAGCGAGGCCCCAUCCCAAAACAGGAAGCCUGUGAUGUGGCUCAGCCUCGAGCACCCUGGGUUCUUCCCCAGCACCGGGGGCGACCGGUCACCUUGUGACAUCCGCCGUGCGCCACGGCCUCCUGGACACCGAGCCUUUCCCCCGUGCAGCCCUCUUGGCUGCUGUAAUCAGGUGUCCCGGACGGGGCGACGGACGGCAGAACCCGUUCUCUCCUUGUCCCCCGGCUCCGGCCCGCGGCUCAGUCUCGCCCGGCUCCCCGGCUUCCCUCUGCCUCGCUGCUUCUCUUCUUAGGGAGACACUGGUGUGAACCUGGGGCCACCCUCCAGACCUGUCUCCAUGAAUGACCCUGGCAAAUGCCUCUCUCCAAAUGAGGCCACCUUCUGAGUGCAUGGGCCUCACUGCUGCCUCUGCCCCAGGGCCUUUGCUCCUGCUAUCCUGCCUGGACCACACUCAGAGCCGCCCUCAUGGCUUUGAGGAAUCUGCUCAGCUGAGGAAGCCGAGUCCAAGAGGCGCGGAUUGUGCCCCCGGGUCGCGAGCCAGGGGUGGCAUCGAGGGACCUGGUUCCCAGCUCUCUGGCCACCAGGACCACGUCCACCACCAGGUCUGACCAUGGCUCCUUCCCCUCCAGGCAGCACCGUUGCUCAGGACCGGCAGCCUGCGUGGGAGGGUGCUGGGGCCCUGUGUCUAGCCACCUGCAGGUCCCAAGGCUGGGACGGGCAGGCGCCUGGGCUUCCCGGGACAGCCCGGUCUCCAGACUGGAUACCACCAUUCGCCAGAGGCCGUUCAGCAUCACGUGGCUCACACUCCAGGAAGCGUGUCCCCUGCCAUCCCCGGGGGCUGGUCUGGGUUUGACAGUGGCCGAGGGAUCAGCCAGGGAGGGAGGAGCGGCCCACCCAGAGGCUGCGGGCUCCGGGGCCCUGGAAGCACGGCGUCUGGCCACGCGGUCUGCCCU